CCUACGGGUGGCAGCAGUGAGGAAUAUUGGUCAAUGGGCGGAAGCCUGAACCAGCCAAGUCGCGUGAGGGAGGAAGGCCCUGCGGGUCGUAAACCUCUUUUGCCGGGGAACAGAGGUCCGGACGUGUCCGGGCCGGGAUAGUACCCGGACAAAAAGCAUCGGCUAACUCCGUGCCAGCAGCCGGGGUAAUACGGAGGAUGCGAGCGUUAUCCGGAUUUAUUGGGUUUAAAGGGUGCGUAGGCGGGCAUUUAAGCCGGCGGUCAAAUGUCGGGGCCCAACCCCGGCCGGCCGUCGGAACUGGGUGCCGUGAGUGGGCGAGAAGUAUGCGGAAUGCGUGGUGUAGCGGUGAAAUGCAUAGAUAUCACGCAGAGCCCCGAUUGCGAAGGCAGCAGACCGGCGCCCUACUGACGCUGAGGCACGAAAGUGCGGGUAUCGAACAGGAUUAGAUACCCUUGUAGUC
This 460-nucleotide ribosomal RNA is filed under the name uncultured bacterium. Its description in RNAcentral is "partial 16S ribosomal RNA". It matches the Rfam family "Bacterial small subunit ribosomal RNA", at positions 338 to 795 of the family's 1533-position model. The record is from RNAcentral.